Molecule: unclassified non-coding RNA, 300 nt
Filed under: uncultured Erythrobasidium
Lineage: Eukaryota; Fungi; Basidiomycota; Cystobasidiomycetes; Erythrobasidiales; Erythrobasidiaceae
Description: sequence contains 5.8S rRNA gene, ITS2
Rfam family: 5.8S ribosomal RNA (bases 1-71)
Source: RNAcentral
GUGAGUCAUCGAAUCUUUGAACGCACCUUGCACUCUUUGGUAUUCCGAAGAGUAUGUCUGUUUGAGUGUCAUGAAACUCUCAACCCCCUUGUUUUGUAAUGAAGCAGGCGUGGGCUUGGAUUAUGGCUGUCUGCUGGACUCUUUAAGUAGAGAUCGGCUCGGCUGAAAUAUACGAGUAACCCAGUUUGAAUAUUAACGGCUUGACUCGGCGUAAUAGCUUUAUUUCGCUGAGGACGUUUCAUAUCAAGAUAGUGGUGCUUCUAAUGCGUCGUAGCGUCAGCUGCACAACCUUUAAGCUUU